Long non-coding RNA from Aquila chrysaetos chrysaetos, 1877 nucleotides. RefSeq lists it as uncharacterized. The record is from RefSeq and is a predicted model, not a curated record. Lineage: Eukaryota; Metazoa; Chordata; Aves; Accipitriformes; Accipitridae. The transcript has 2 exons.
GACUGGCAGGCUCCGGCCGCCGCGGGGGGCGGGGCGCCGGCGGGCGCGCGGCUGAGGCGCUCGCAAGGGUCCCGCCCGGCCAGGGGAAGGGACGGCGUAGCGGCACCGCCGGGCCCGGCCCGGCCCCGGGGGGAACCGGUAUCGGGGGGAGCCCCGUGGGCCCCGGGGCGGUGGCAGCGGCGUCUCGGUGCAGGCCGCCCUCAGGCGCCCGCUCCCGCCCGGUUUGUCCCUUGGGGUCGAGGGUUCGUGUCUCCGGCGGCAGCUUCCCCUCUCCUCCGUUGUGCGGCCUUGGGACUUCGCCAGAAUGAAACCCAAGCAGUUUGUGAAGAAAGCAGGCUCCCUCCGUUCGUGUUUCCUCUUCCACCCGCCUGCACCGCUCAUCGGCUCUCUGCCCCGGACUGAGCGGGUCCCGGCUCUGCGUGGCACGAUCACACAAUGCCUGCAAAUAGCAAGUGCUGCGUAUAUGCUAUUUCUGGAUAAAGAUUUUCCUGGUUUUACGUGGAAAAAUCGUAUCACUUUCUAAAGUAGAGUAGCCGUCUCGUUGGAGGUGAGAGGGAAGCGCGUGGGCUAGGGACGUGCUCUCCUCGGCAGGGUGGGAAGCGUGGUUUGGAGCGGGGGGAGAUGCCUUCUCCUCCUCGGAGGUGAUCGCUUCGUGCUGCCGCACCUGUGGUUCUGGAGGCGGCUGCUGCCAGCAGAAGCCCCGAGGCGGAUAGAAAAGGCUUGGGGAAGGUGUCAAACCGCACUGCCAGUGUUUCUGCAGCACCUAGUGCGCUAGGAUCCUGGUAUAUAAUUGCUGUUCCUAGGAGUUCUAAUAAUGGAAAUGUUGCAGAGAACGCUGGGAAGUGCCUGUGACUUUUCUGAUGGCACCACCUAGAGUUAACCGUUGAGAAGAACGGCGUACAGAAGGCGAAGCUUUUGGCUUGGUCUGUCAUUGGCAUCUCUCGAGAUAAAAGCGGUCGCAUUUUUCAUCUUUGGCACUCCUGCAGCUGUAGGUAUAGUACUGUGCAUCUACGUUGUGUCCAGAACACAUAUCCUGAGCUGGGAAUUAGAGGAAGCCUUCAUUCCUGCAAGUACCGUUAUCCCAAAAAAUAUUUGGUGUCAACAUCAUCCAAAGAUGAGGAAGAGUUGAAAGAUUUGAGUGAUGGGCGGACAAGUCACCCAAAUAAGACCCAAUGUUAUAUCAACUCCAAUGGUGUCUGCAUUACCUGGGGCUUCCAGAUAAAAUAAUAACCUACAUGAGGAGGUCUCAAAAAACAGGAGAGAGGAGGUUUUGAAGAAGCUUUCCACUUCCGCCUUUGUUUACUCAUCUUUCUUUUUUGGAGCUGUGCAUGUAAAUGAUCUUAUUUGCCAGCACGCAUGUGGAAAACAACUUCAGUAGUUUCUGAGAAAUUAACAUUUUUAAUUAUCACACAUCAAAAUUAUUAUUUUGGCUGGCUAUUGCACUCGAUUCAAUCAUUAAAUUUGCAUGAACGAACUUUGUCAUCUUUGAAAAGAAUCUCCAAAGGGUAAACCAAAAAAUUUCUACGCAACAAGAGAGAGGUUUAGGCGAGAUGGGCGCAGAGGAGCAGCACACGAGGCACUGCUGGGGCUGUGCCUCGCUUGUACAGAGUCAAGAGACUUUGCUGCUUACCAAGGACGCACCAAGCCAUUACUCAAGCCCCGUGGCUAUAGAUCCACAGAACAGACAUCCAAGGGUGCCAGCACCGCUGAAGGGAACGGUGCUGUUCCUCCCCUUGCUCCCAGCCGCUUGUUCCUAUGGCUGUAUCAUCCCUCCCAACAAGCCAACACAAGCAUCCAGUGCGGCCGCAUCGCCUGCAGUGUCACGAAGCAAGCUGGGAUGUGGUGCGUUAGCUCACAAAUACAGUUGUUUAAUAGCA